GUGGGUAUAGCUCAGUGAUAGAGUGGAUGCUUGGCAUGUGCAAGGUCCUGGGUUCAAUUCCUAGUACCUCCA
This 72-nucleotide transfer RNA is filed under the name Camelus bactrianus (Bactrian camel). It matches the Rfam family "tRNA". From Rfam's summary of the family: Transfer RNA (tRNA) molecules are approximately 80 nucleotides in length. Their secondary structure includes four short double-helical elements and three loops (D, anti-codon, and T loops). RNAcentral also lists the same sequence under 2 other names. The record is from Rfam by way of RNAcentral. Lineage: Eukaryota; Metazoa; Chordata; Mammalia; Artiodactyla; Camelidae.